AUUGUUGGGAUUUGUAGUCUACUGACAAAGUAGGCGGAGUGCGUCUAUUCCCCUUUUCUGCUUUGCCAAAGUGCUUGCUGGCAGCAGGGAGGAGCUGAAAGUGGACUAGGGUGGAGUUUUCUAAAGAGUCAGGGUGGCGUGUUUGGAAAGCCUUGUAUGGCAAGGGCAUGUGAAUUCCUGGGGAGGGCCUGGCAAGCUUUACAGCUCCAUGGGAGAUCAAAGCUAAAAGGCUCUUUUUGCAGACCUAGCAAACGUGAGACCUUCACGUGAUUGCAGAACUGACCUCGCCCUGAGGUUAUUGGAAGGUCCAGAGAUCAAGACUCUCCUGUGUUUGCAGCUAGUGACAAGGCAGAGGGAACCAGAGUUGAAAUUCAUUCAGCCUAAUCUGGCUCUUGGCAAGAAGCAAAACUGUUUUGCAGUCUGCAUGAGGGUCUAGUUCUGUGGGAUGGCCUUGCAUUUGAACCGUCCUGCUUCUGCCUCCCAAGUUCUGGGGCUGCAGCUGUUACUCAUACACCCAAGUCAAAGAAAUGACUUUGGAUAUCCUUGCAGUGGAGAUGAGGAUAUGAGCCCACUUCCCACUCCGUCUCUUUUGUUGGAUUCAAGGGAAUAACAAGAAAGGUCAGGGCUUUUUCUUGGUCCUAGAAAAUUCUAACAUGUAAACUGUGCUCUUUUCUCUACCAGGGACUUCUAGAAGAAGGGCAGAGGAACCGAGGAACCAGGGCCACCAAAAGAAUGUGUUAUCUCACCUAAGGGAGACUAGAGUAGACGGAUGGCCUCUCUUUGGCCUAAACCUUAGCUUAAGACUCUAAGUUCUGGUCAGAGCUCCUUGCCAUGCUCAUAGGGAACUGGAGUUAUGAUUACCAAUGUAAACAGCACCUUUACAUGUGUGCAUGUGCAGUGGGUGAGUGCUUGAUCCAAGAUCUAUUCUCCUUGACAGUAGGUUGUUCUGGGUAAUAGGGCAACACCCUGUGCAAAUCUUGAGUGGCCUAAAUCUUGGGCAGACUGUUUGACUGACUGACUGACUGACUGACUGAGGGUGGGUCCCUAUGAAAAUAGGUCAGGCUUCAGUUAGGUGCCUUCCCAUCCCCCUCCUUUCUCAUCUGGAACCCAUUAUCCAGGGUAAAAACCUGUUGGCCCAGGUGAUGCAAAUCUGGAUUAGAAACCUAGAGAUGUCCCUGAAUCAGAGAACCAGACCUUUACCUAAAAGAGGUUCAUUCCCUACCUUCCUGGAUCAUUUUCCUGGUUUCUAAAAGGCCAGCUAGUUUUCCCUACCCCAUCCAAAACUCCCACCAUUUGGGGAGGACCUCAAGACAAGAGGGACAAAGUCUGAGUUAAUUUGCUAUGAAGACCGUAGAAAAGGAAAGAUGAGGCAGGAGCCAGGGCUGACGGGUUUCAAUGAAUAGAUUUUGCCACCUUUUCCCCACUACAAUUCUUUCCCAGAAAUCACACAAAAUUUUUUUUUGUAUUAAGUACCAACUGUAUGCCAGGCAUUGUGCGAAGUACCAUAUAAAGAUUCUUUCUACUGGGCAGUGAUGUCCAACACCUUUGAUUCCAGCACUCAGGAGGCAGAAGCUGGCUGAUCUAUGUGAGUUUGAGGCCACCGCCAGCCUGGUCUACUGAACAACUGCCAGGACCGGCUCCAAAACUACACAG
This is a long non-coding RNA of Mesocricetus auratus (golden hamster), 1653 nucleotides long. RefSeq lists it as uncharacterized. The transcript has 3 exons. The record is from RefSeq and is a predicted model, not a curated record. NCBI's taxonomy places the organism in Eukaryota, Metazoa, Chordata, Mammalia, Rodentia, Cricetidae.